AGGCCAUUGAUGAGAACCAGAGCUAAUGACCCAAAUUAGGUGAAAUAACUCAUGGGUUGUAUGAAAGAAAUUGAUCUUCAAGUACCCGAUUCCCGGCGGGUUGCCAUCGUUAUGAAACUCACCAGCGCCUUGGGGCCCCCACGAUUCGUUGCAAAAUUCGACCUCUAAGGCAUCACCUCCUCUGAGUCUUGGUAUGUUGUCUUGUCAAAGAGACUAAUCUGUAACUUAGUUUGGAUAUCGCUAUUAUCCUUUACUGUUGAUAGCUAUAAUGUGAGAAAACUGGCUUCAUGUCUUGUCAAUUUCUUGGAUGUCCUAAACAGUUUCAAGGGUUUCAAUACGAUUCUUGAUGCGAAGGUUCAAGGUUAAUGGAGGAUUUGAGUAAAACUAUUUUAUUUUUAUUUUU
Long non-coding RNA from Populus trichocarpa (black cottonwood), 403 nucleotides. RefSeq lists it as uncharacterized. NCBI's taxonomy places the organism in Eukaryota, Viridiplantae, Streptophyta, Magnoliopsida, Malpighiales, Salicaceae. The record is from RefSeq and is a predicted model, not a curated record. The transcript is spliced from 3 exons.